Molecule: long non-coding RNA, 3013 nt
Filed under: Gallus gallus (chicken)
Lineage: Eukaryota; Metazoa; Chordata; Aves; Galliformes; Phasianidae
Description: lncRNA (ENSGALG00010006938.1)
Source: RNAcentral
GUGAUGUGGAAAGAGCUGCAAAGAAGCUGCAUACAGGGGGCAGCCAGAAGUACUCCUGGGUCUGAUCAGCUACUGUGGACUCUUUGUGCAAUGGGAAGUGGGCCUGCAGGAAAGCCUUGUCUACAGUGCCCUGAUUCUAGAAGGAAAUCCAUGCAAAAACCUGCAGGACAGAAAGUCCUGUCUUCUGUAAGCUCUCUUGAAGGUUGUCUGAAGGUUGGACUGUCUUUUCUGGCACCGGGCUGUUAGUUAUGGUGAGUGUUUACAGGAGAAGUGAGCAUUGGGUCCAUUGGUUUCUGCAAAUUGCCUUGCUUCUCCAGAGAGAAAAGUCCUUGAAACCUACGUCUUCCAAAUAGAAGUCACUGUUGGACCCAUGUUUGGAGGUAUUCCAGCCCUCAUGAAGGAUUGAAAGACACAGAUGGGAGCAGAGAGACAGUCUGACGAAAUGCUGUCUGAUGCGGAAGUGUGGAUGAAGCAAAAGUGUGUAGCUGAAUUUCUCCAUGUGGAAAAAUUGCACCCAAUGACAUUCAUCAAUGUUGCUGAAUAUUUAUGGAGACCAAAGAGUGGAUGUGAGCACAGCAAGGAGCAAAAACAGAGAAGGAGCAGGAGAGAGAAGUAGAGUGGAAAGAACUUCUCCUGGAAUGUACUGGACCAUUAAAUAUAAAGUGUCUUGGAUCUUCUUAAAUGCUGCAAAGCAGGUUAAGCUCUACACUCUACACAGCAAUUCACAACACCAAUCAUCUUUGACUGCCAAACCCUGCCGGAACAGUGAAAAAUCAUGGCACUUACAUUAAAUGUGAACAGUAACUUUUUCAAAGAGUGCAAAAUAAAUAAUUGUGGGAGAGAAUAGAUGAAUACAUAGGUAGAUGGAAGUCUCUAGAAUGGAGAAUUAGUUAUGAAUGUGGAUAAAGGAGCAUUGCUUUUACAGGUAACUACAAACAAUCUUGAAUUUAUACUCUCCACACCAACCUGGCUGACAGAGAAAACUUUUUCUCCAUUCUGCUUACUAAAAACUAACUAACAAACAACAACAAAAAUAGGUACCAAGCUGUCUUUUCUUUCUUCGUCUCUUCCUUUCUUUGUCUUUCUUUUAUUUAUUUUAAAUGUUUUAUUUAUGUUGUACGUAUUUAUUCAGGAACACAUAAAGCCUGCUUCCAUGUAGAGGCAAACCAAAUAAACUUACAUAAUCUAUAUAGUCUAAACCAAACAAAUACAUCUCCCUUCUAUGUUAAUAUAAUUAACAUUUCCUAUUAACCAGGACAGUAACGCAAACAGGCAAAACAUGAUGCAGGCUCUCUUGUAAAAAUAAAAUUAUUUUGUGGAAAAAUAUUGUGAAAAGUAGCCACAUACAAGAGAGAAGAGAAUAAAAUGCAAAAAGAAUGCAAAAAGUGAAUAUAAUGUUAUAUGCCCAAACACAUACUACAAAGAAUCAAAAACUCUCACUGCUAUCAGUGCGCAGCAAGAUUGCACAUGACUUUCUCAUAUUGGGGUUUGUAUUUAAAUGCAUCAGAACAUAAGCUUGCCUGAGAUCCAAGGAAUAUAUGAACUGGGAAGGGAGUUUUAUAUGAUGAAAGACAGGUAGGCUGAUGAUGGUUUAUUAAGAAGUGCUGGAAGCAGAAAGACAGGAGGAAUCUGGAAAAGGCCUCCACUUUAAAUCCUUCAGAGCCAAGGAAGCAGAGAAACACUGCCUUGGCUGGUGACAGCACAGCACUGGCAAUGCUGAGAAAGUCAAGUAGUCAUUCAUCACUGUGGCAUGGGAGAAGUUGCAUAAAGGAUCUGAAAAGCCCUCCAAAGCACCCUGAACCCAGGCAGUAAUUAUGUCAAGCCUUUGACCCACUGAAACCACUAUUAACCUCUCACAGAGGCACAAUUGUACAUCCAAACAUUUGCAACGUUAGUCAUGUUUAAACAGCUUCCAGUAAAGAUGACACAGGCCUAUAAGAGGAAUCUGCAUGUUCCCUCUGGAAUUGACAGGAUUCAUUCAAGUCUUUCUCCUCAGACUUGGCUGCCAAUUCUAUCUUUGCAAUUCUUAUCCCCUGUUUUCCUUGGGAACUUAAUACAUAAAAUAUUGUCCACAUAUUUUCUAUUAAAGGAAAUUUGGUUUGGUGAAGAUGGGUUGGCUUAUGUUAUGAAUUUCCUAAAUAGUUGAUUUAAAUUUAUAUAUUUACAAGCAUCUUAACCACACAAAUUAUUCUGGGGUAGAAAGGAAACACUCAGUUCUCAUCCUUUUCUUCUCAGGUACACCAAGUAAUAAGUGUCAUACUUAAUGCAUUACCAGUCCCAAAAGGUUUUCCAAUACACUGAAAUUCCCAUAUCUACAUGUUUGUGUUUGCCUUUCUUUGAUGUGAAUCCAUAUCACUUCUUUUCUCCAGCAUUUCUCUUAUGUGUUUCCAUGUUUACGCUGAAGGGAUACUGGUAGAAUAGAGUGGUCUUUGCUCACACUGGAAAUGUGGCAUCCUAGCAGGCCAGGUUCCUCUCUGAUUCUGAAAUUGCCUAAUGCCACUGAAAUCAAUAGAGUUAUCCUCAUUUGCAGCAGUGGGAGGCAGUGUCAGGGCCUUUCCUUCUCUGGCAGUUUGCCACUGUGGCUGAAAGCCAGGAAGAAGUCUUAUCCCAUGUGCAGUGAACUAACACUGAUGCAGGACUAGUGAGCAGAGGGAUGAGCUGGAACCUGGACAGGAUGAAAAAAGAGAAUGAAACAGGAGGGAUCCCCUCACACACACACACAACAAAAAGUGACAAAAACAUUGUCAAUCGCUGGUAUGGCCAUCUUAAUUCUUAGCAACCAUAAACAUUGAAGCACACCAUUAAUAAAUCAAAGGUGGUGAUAAGGAUUGUAACAAGAUAAAUUUUUGAAAUCGAUAUUCUGUUAUUCCAGAAUAACUUCACUAUUUAACUGAGAUCAAUGGAAUUACCCUAGCAUAAAACAGAAAUAAGCUGGUGGUGAAUCUAGGCCUUCGGGUGUAAAACACAAGAACGGCAGUGUAGCAGAUGCCACGCACACAGCUUAACAGGAGCA